GCCUGGAAUGCCAGUUUUCAAGUGUGAGCUUUCACUCCUAGGCCAUGGGGGCCAACAGAGACUUGAUAGCUUUUAUUAUGACAAUUGAAACCAGAGGCCCCAAUAUUCUGUGAAAGGAUAAUUUUCAAAGACUGGUUUAAAAAAAAAAACUCUUAUACAGAUAUAAAAAUGAACACAUCUUAAAGAUUUUACUUAGCUAAUUAAUGAGAAAACUAUGAAAAUGGCAAUCAGUUAAAAGGAGAACAGAUACAUUUAUAGACACAUUUUAGAAAUAUUGAAAUGAAUGUUCAAAGGGAUGCAAAACUGGCUUUUCCAUAGAGGGGAGGGUCAUCUCUCCUCUGCACAGAAUUUAUUUACAUGUCUCUGAGCAAGAACGAUUUUGCAUUGCUAUCAGUUAUGUAUAAGAUACAGAGUGGCAAAUUAUCUUCCAUAGAAUCAGAAUUAGAUAACCCAGACCAGUGCGUUCUAAGCAAUGCAUAGUUUUUCAUCAAAGUACACAUUUUUCAGUUCUAUUGGCCAAGUGGGUUUUCUGU
This 533-nucleotide long non-coding RNA is filed under the name Pan troglodytes (chimpanzee). Its description in RNAcentral is "long non-coding RNA NONPTRT011892". The record is from RNAcentral. Lineage: Eukaryota; Metazoa; Chordata; Mammalia; Primates; Hominidae.